Molecule: transfer RNA, 71 nt
Filed under: Halomarina oriensis
Lineage: Archaea; Methanobacteriati; Methanobacteriota; Halobacteria; Halobacteriales; Natronomonadaceae
Also listed under: 1 other name
Description: tRNA-Gly
Rfam family: tRNA
About the family: Transfer RNA (tRNA) molecules are approximately 80 nucleotides in length. Their secondary structure includes four short double-helical elements and three loops (D, anti-codon, and T loops). Further hydrogen bonds mediate the characteristic L-shaped molecular structure. tRNAs have two regions of fundamental functional importance: the anti-codon, which is responsible for specific mRNA codon recognition, and the 3' end, to which the tRNAs corresponding amino acid is attached (by aminoacyl-tRNA synthetases). tRNAs cope with the degeneracy of the genetic code in two manners: having more than one tRNA (with a specific anti-codon) for a particular amino acid; and 'wobble' base-pairing, i.e. permitting non-standard base-pairing at the 3rd anti-codon position.
Source: RNAcentral
GCGCCGGUAGUCUAGUGGUAGGACAUGGGCCUUCCAAGCCCAUAGCCCGGGUUCAAAUCCCGGUCGGCGCA